RNAcentral lists this ribosomal RNA (468 nucleotides) under uncultured bacterium. RNAcentral describes it as "partial 16S ribosomal RNA". It matches the Rfam family "Bacterial small subunit ribosomal RNA", at positions 28 to 507 of the family's 1533-position model. The record is from RNAcentral.
GACGAACGCUGGCGGCGUGCUUAACACAUGCAAGUCGAACGGAAAGGCCCUGCUUUUGUGGGGUGCUCGAGUGGCGAAAGGGUGAGUAACACGUGAGUAACCUGCCCUUGACUUUGGGAUAACUUCAGGAAACUGGGGCUAAUACCGGAUAGGAGCUCAUGCUGCAUGGUGGGGGUGGGAAAGUUUCGGCGGUUGGGGAUGGACUCGCGGCUUAUCAGCUUGUUGGUGGGGUAGUGGCUUACCAAGGCUUUGACGGGUCGCCGGCCUGAGAGGGUGACCGGACACAUUGGGACUGAGAUACGGCCCAGACUCCUACGGGAGGCAGCAGUGGGGAAUAUUGCACUGUGGGCGGAAGCCUGAUGCAGCAACGCCGCGUUCGGGAUGACGGCCUUCGGGUUGUAGACCGCUUUCGCCUGUGACGAAGCGUGAGGGACGGUAAUGGGUAAAGAAGCACCGGCUAACUACGUG